UCGGGAAUUUUGGGCAAUGGGCGAAAGCCUGACCCAGCAACGCCGCGUGAAGGAUGAAGUAUUUCGGUAUGUAAACUUCGAAAGAAUAGGAAGAAUAAAUGACGGUACCUGAAGAAUAAGCACCGGCUAACUACGUGCCAGCAGCCGCGGUGAUACGUAGGGUGCGAGCGUUAAUCGGAAUUACUGGGCGUAAAGCGUGCGCAGGCGGCUUUGCAAGACAGAUGUGAAAUCCCCGGGCUCAACCUGGGAACUGCAUUUGUGACUGCAAGGCUAGAGUACGGUAGAGGGGGAUGGAAUUCCGCGUGUAGCAGUGAAAUGCGUAGAUAUGCGGAGGAACACCGAUGGCGAAGGCAAUCCCCUGGACCUGUACUGACGCUCAUGCACGAAAGCGUGGGGAGCAAACAGGAUUAGAUACCCCCGUAG
RNAcentral lists this ribosomal RNA (423 nucleotides) under uncultured bacterium. RNAcentral describes it as "bacterial SSU rRNA". It matches the Rfam family "Bacterial small subunit ribosomal RNA", at positions 355 to 793 of the family's 1533-position model. The record is from RNAcentral.